RNAcentral lists this ribosomal RNA (822 nucleotides) under Pantoea sp. RNAcentral's name for it is "bacterial SSU rRNA". It matches the Rfam family "Bacterial small subunit ribosomal RNA", at positions 605 to 1427 of the family's 1533-position model. The record is from RNAcentral. Lineage: Bacteria; Pseudomonadati; Pseudomonadota; Gammaproteobacteria; Enterobacterales; Erwiniaceae.
GGGCUCANCCUGGGANNUGCAUUNGAAACUGGCAGGCUAGAGUCUUGUAGAGGGGGGUAGANUUCCAGGUGUAGCGGUGAAAUGCGUAGAGAUCUGGAGGAAUACCGGUGGNGAAGGCGGCCCCCUGGACAAAGACUGACGCUCAGGUGCGAAAGCGUGGGGAGCAAACAGGAUUAGAUACCNUGGUAGUCCACGCCGUAAACGAUGUCGACUUGGAGGUUGUGCCCUUGAGGCGUGGCUUCCGGAGCUAACGCGUUAAGUCGACCGCCUGGGGAGUACGGCCGCAAGGUUAAAACUCAAAUGAAUUGACGGGGGCCCGCACAAGCGGUGGAGCAUGUGGUUUAAUUCGAUGCAACGCGAAGAACNUUACCUACUCUUGACAUCCAGAGAACUUAGCAGAGAUGCUUUGGUGCCUUCGGGAACUCUGAGACAGGUGCNGCAUGGCUGUCGUCAGCUCGUGUUGUGAAAUGUUGGGUUAAGUCCCGCAACGAGCGCAACCCUUAUCCUUUGUUGCCAGCGGUUCGGCCGGGAACUCAAAGGAGACUGCCAGUGAUAAACUGGAGGAAGGUGGGGAUGACGUCAAGUCAUCAUGGCCCUUACGAGUAGGGCUACACACGUGNUACAAUGGCGCAUACAAAGAGAAGCGACCUCGCGAGAGCAAGCGGACCUCAUAAANUGCGUCGUAGUCCGGAUCGGAGUCUGCAACUCGACUCCGUGAAGUCGGAAUCGCUAGUAAUCGUAGAUCAGAAUGNUACGGUGAAUACGUUCCCGGGCCUUGUACACACCGCCCGUCACACCAUGGGAGUNGGUUNCAAAAGAAGU